AGGGCGGUAGCUCAGUGGUCAGAGCAAGGGACUCAUAAUCCCCGGGUCGUGGGUUCGAUCCCCACCCGCCCUA
This 73-nucleotide transfer RNA is filed under the name Nocardioidaceae bacterium. Its description in RNAcentral is "tRNA-Ile". It matches the Rfam family "tRNA". Rfam says of the family: Transfer RNA (tRNA) molecules are approximately 80 nucleotides in length. Lineage: Bacteria; Bacillati; Actinomycetota; Actinomycetes; Propionibacteriales; Nocardioidaceae. The record is from RNAcentral. RNAcentral also lists the same sequence under 3 other names.